RNAcentral lists this long non-coding RNA (787 nucleotides) under Fukomys damarensis (Damara mole-rat). Its description in RNAcentral is "lncRNA (ENSFDAG00000030931.1)". The record is from RNAcentral. Lineage: Eukaryota; Metazoa; Chordata; Mammalia; Rodentia; Bathyergidae.
UGUGGUCCAUGUUGUCCCAUGUGGGUUUCACCCUAUAAAACUCCUCUGUAAAGUGGGGUCCCUGGGGCUACCCACUCGGGACGCCUCCUGCCCUCAGGAGUUUUCCUAUCAAUAAAUACCUUCCUUCUUUUAACCUGUGUUGUUCCUAAGACUCAUUCUUCAAUUUCUAAAAAAGAAAAGGUCAGUGUAUCGUACAGUCAACAGGUUGACAGAUAUACUUCAUAUUUCAUAUUUUCCCCGGCACUCCUAACCCUGCACAGCCUGGCCCCUGCAUUCCCACAGUCUAAAGUCAGUCCUAAAUGGUGUCUUUUCCUGCAUUCUUUGUUUCUUUUAGAUAACGUCCAUGUACUUAGGAAAAUAAAUUCAGGCCUAUACUGCCUUUUGGUACACAGUGGCUCGGCAGGCCCUGUGGGUCGUGGGCUCCCCACCUUCGGCCCAUGCUGGGGGAGCAGGCGGUGCGCGCUGUCCAGGGAACAGGGGACAGCAAAGCUCCUCGCUCAGCGCCCAGGCGGGUUCGCUAGUCAGGAGGCAGAGCUCCUCUGUGACAGCGCGAUGGGUAGACAGAGGAUUGACAGAGGAGCGUCCCACCCGGGAAUGAGGAUCCCAGGCUUCCUGUGUCUGAGGGCGGGACACACUGUGAUGACAGGGACCUCCCCUCCCCCCACUGAGGGCUGCACCGCUGAGCUGGUCCUCUGGGUGCACUGCCUCCUUCAGAUCUGCGGUUAGUUACCAGCUGCGCUCCUCUCGGUGGCCUGAGGCAACACCAGUCACUGGACUUUCACCACGG